CACCGACGACUUGACGCCCUCGACCGCGAC
Molecule: small RNA, 30 nt
Filed under: Bombyx mori (domestic silkworm)
Lineage: Eukaryota; Metazoa; Arthropoda; Insecta; Lepidoptera; Bombycidae
Description: ovarian small RNA-12956
Source: RNAcentral